UACGGAGGGUGCGAGCGUUGUCCGGAAUCAUUGGGCGUAAAGGGCGCGUAGGUGGCCCGGUCAGUCUUUGGUGAAAGCGCGGGGCUCAACCCUGCGUCGGCCAGGGAUACUGCCGCGGCUCGAGCACUGUAGAGGCAGGCGGAAUUCCGGGUGGAGUGGUGAAAUGCGUAGAGAUCCGGAGGAACACCAGAGGCGAAGGCGGCCUACUGGGCUGCACCUGACGCUGAGCCGCGAAAGCCAGGGGAGCGAACGGG
RNAcentral lists this ribosomal RNA (254 nucleotides) under uncultured bacterium. RNAcentral describes it as "partial 16S ribosomal RNA". It matches the Rfam family "Bacterial small subunit ribosomal RNA", at positions 524 to 776 of the family's 1533-position model. The record is from RNAcentral.